Molecule: ribosomal RNA, 726 nt
Filed under: uncultured bacterium
Lineage: Bacteria
Description: bacterial SSU rRNA
Rfam family: Bacterial small subunit ribosomal RNA
Source: RNAcentral
AGUCGAGCGAGUCUGCCUUGAGAUCGGAGUGCUUGCACUCUGUGAAACAAGAUACAGGCUAGCGGCGGACGGGUGAGUAACACGUGGGUAACCUGCCCAAGAGAUCGGGAUAACACCUGGAAACAGAUGCUAAUACCGGAUAACAAUAGAUGAUGCCUAUCAACUGUUUAAAAGAUGGUUCUGCUAUCACUCUUGGAUGGACCUGCGGUGCAUUAGCUAGUUGGUAGGGUAACGGCCUACCAAGGCGAUGAUGCAUAGCCGAGUUGAGAGACUGAUCGGCCACAUUGGGACUGAGACACGGCCCAAACUCCUACGGGAGGCAGUAGUAGGGAAUCUUCCACAAUGGACGCAAGUCUGAUGGAGCAACGCCGCGUGAGUGGAGAAGGGUUUCGGCUCGUAAAGCUCUGUUGUUGGUGAAGAAGGACAGGGGUAGUAACUGACCUUUGUUUGACGGUAAUCAAUUAGAAAGUCACGGCUAACUACGUGCCAGCAGCCGCGGUAAUACGUAGGUGGCAAGCGUUGUCCGGAUUUAUUGGGCGUAAAGCGAGUGCAGGCGGCUCGAUAAGUCUGAUGUGAAAGCCUUCGGCUCAACCGGAGAAUUGCAUCAGAAACUGUCGAGCUUGAGUACAGAAGAGGAGAGUGGAACUCCAUGUGUAGCGGUGAAAUGCGUAGAUAUAUGGAAGAACACCGGUGGCGAAGGCGGCUCUCUGGUCUGUUACUGACGCU